ACGGGAGGCAGCAGUGGGGAAUAUUGCACAAUGGGGGAAACCCUGGUGCAGCGACGCCGCGUGAGUGAAGAAGUAUUUCGGUAUGUAAAGCUCUAUCAGCAGGGAAGAAAAUGACGGUACCUGACUAAGAAGCCCCGGCUAACUACGUGCCAGCAGCCGCGGUAAUACGUAGGGGGCAAGCGUUAUCCGGAUUUACUGGGUGUAAAGGGAGCGUAGACGGUAAUGCAAGUCAGAAGUGAAAGCCCAGGGCUCAACCUUGGGACUGCUUUUGAAACUGUAAUACUAGAGUGCAGGAGAGGUAAGUGGAAUUCCUAGUGUAGCGGUGAAAUGCGUAGAUAUUAGGAGGAACACCAGUGGCGAAGGCGGCUUACUGGACUGUAACUGACGUUGAGGCUCGAAAGCGUGGGGAGCAAACAGGAUUAGAUACCCUGGUA
This 434-nucleotide ribosomal RNA is filed under the name uncultured Clostridium sp. RNAcentral describes it as "partial 16S ribosomal RNA". It matches the Rfam family "Bacterial small subunit ribosomal RNA", at positions 341 to 792 of the family's 1533-position model. Lineage: Bacteria; Bacillati; Bacillota; Clostridia; Eubacteriales; Clostridiaceae. The record is from RNAcentral.